GAUGAACGCUGGCGGCGUGCCUAAUACAUGCAAGUCGAGCGAACGGACGAGAAGCUUGCUUCUCUGAUGUUAGCGGCGGACGGGUGAGUAACACGUGGAUAACCGACCUAUAAGACUGGGAUAACUUCGGGAAACCGGAGCUAAUACCGGAUAAUAUUUUGAACCGCAUGGUUCAAAAGUGAAAGACGGUCUUGCUGUCACUUAUAGAUGGAUCCGCGCUGCAUUAGCUAGUUGGUAAGGUAACGGCUUACCAAGGCAACGAUGCAUAGCCGACCUGAGAGGGUGAUCGGUCACACUGGAACUGAGACACGGUCCAGACUCCUACGGGAGGCAGCAGUAGGGAAUCUUCCGCAAUGGGCGAAAGCCUGACGGAGCAACGCCGCGUGAGUGAUGAAGGUCUUCGGAUCGUAAAACUCUGUUAUUAGGGAAGAACAUAUGUGUAAGUAACUGUGCACAUCUUGACGGUACCUACUCAGAAAGCCACGGCUAACUACGUG
Molecule: ribosomal RNA, 497 nt
Filed under: uncultured bacterium
Lineage: Bacteria
Description: partial 16S ribosomal RNA
Rfam family: Bacterial small subunit ribosomal RNA
Source: RNAcentral